Molecule: transfer RNA, 72 nt
Filed under: Ovis aries (sheep)
Lineage: Eukaryota; Metazoa; Chordata; Mammalia; Artiodactyla; Bovidae
Rfam family: tRNA
About the family: Transfer RNA (tRNA) molecules are approximately 80 nucleotides in length. Their secondary structure includes four short double-helical elements and three loops (D, anti-codon, and T loops).
Source: Rfam by way of RNAcentral
UCCCUGGUGGCUCAGAUGGUAAAGCAUCUGCCUACAAUGCAGGAGAUCCAGGUUCAAUCCUUGGGUCGGGAA